GUUAAACAGAAAAAGGCUCGGGAAGAUUUCAGGAUAAUGUUAGAAGAUUGCAAGGAGCUGUCACCAUCGUCAAGAUGGAGUAAGGCAAUCUCCAUAUUCGAACAUGAUGAACGUUUUAAAGCUGUUGAGCGAGCUAAAGACCGUGACGACCUUUUUGAAGAUUAUGUGGAGGAACUUGA
This is a long non-coding RNA of Capsicum annuum, 179 nucleotides long. RefSeq lists it as uncharacterized. The transcript is spliced from 3 exons. Lineage: Eukaryota; Viridiplantae; Streptophyta; Magnoliopsida; Solanales; Solanaceae. The record is from RefSeq and is a predicted model, not a curated record.